GAUGAACGCUGGCGGCGUGCCUAAUACAUGCAAGUCGAACGAAACUUCUUUAUCACCGAGUGCUUGCACUCACCGAUAAAGAGUUGAGUGGCGAACGGGUGAGUAACGCGUGGGCAACCUGCCCAAAAGAGGGGGAUAACACUUGGAAGCAGGUGCUAAUACCGCAUAACCAUAGUUACCGCAUGGUAACUAUGUAAAAGGUGGCUAUACUACCGCUUUUGGAUGGGCCCGCGGCGCAUUAGCUAGUUGGUAGGGUAAAGGCUUACCAAGGCAAUGAUGCGUAGCCGAAUUGAGAGGUUGAUCGGCCACAUUGGGACUGAGACACGGCCCAAACUCCUACGGGAGGCAGCAGUAGGGAAUCUUCCACAAUGGGCGAAAGCCUGAUGGAGCAACGCCGCGUGGGUGAAGAAGGUCUUCGGAUCGUAAAACCCUGUUGUUAGAGAAGAAAGUGCGUGAGAGUAACUGUUCACGUUUCGACGGUAUCUAACCAGAAAGCCACGGCUAACUACGUG
Molecule: ribosomal RNA, 512 nt
Filed under: uncultured bacterium
Lineage: Bacteria
Description: partial 16S ribosomal RNA
Rfam family: Bacterial small subunit ribosomal RNA
Source: RNAcentral